UACAGAGGGUGCAAGCGUUAUUCGGAAUCACUGGGCGUAAAGAGCGCGUAGGCGGUUUGGUAAGUUUGAUGUGAAAUCCCUGGACCCAAUCCAGGAACUGCAUCGAAUACUGCUAGACUUGAGUAUGGGAGAGGAGAGUGGAAUUCCUGGUGUAGAGGUGAAAUUCGUAGAUAUCAGGAGGAACAACAGAGGCGAAGGCGACUCUCUGGACCAUUACUGACGCUGAGGCGCGAAAGCGUGGGGAGCAAACAGG
This 253-nucleotide ribosomal RNA is filed under the name uncultured bacterium. RNAcentral's name for it is "partial 16S ribosomal RNA". It matches the Rfam family "Bacterial small subunit ribosomal RNA", at positions 524 to 776 of the family's 1533-position model. The record is from RNAcentral.